Long non-coding RNA from Suncus etruscus (white-toothed pygmy shrew), 1547 nucleotides. RefSeq lists it as uncharacterized. The record is from RefSeq and is a predicted model, not a curated record. The transcript is spliced from 2 exons. Lineage: Eukaryota; Metazoa; Chordata; Mammalia; Eulipotyphla; Soricidae.
GAAUGUGACACUGUAGCCAGCUCCUCCUGAUAAACCUGUGACUAUUAAAUCUCUCUGACAGUUUCUUUUUUAGGUGAUUUCCUUCCUUCCUGCCAGGCUCCGUGGUAGGGGUUACUGAACAGUCUCUCGUCCCCGCCUCCCAACCUGUGGAUACAGCUGUUGGGGCAGAAGAGACGGGACCAGCUGCUGGCCACAUUUCCUGCUUUAUUUUAAAAGGUAGUAUAAGAAAUGAGGAAAAAGAGGUAAUAUCAGGGCUUCUGCUGUCUUUUAUUUUAAAAAUGUUCAUGAUUAAGUAUUUUCCAGCAGUCCAAAGAUGUAAGUUAUCUUACACAUAAUGUUUUAUUUCGUUGUUAUUUGGUUAUUAUAAAAAUGGAAUCCUUGUUCUUGCACAACUGUAAAUGUUUUGUUGUUAGAUAAUAUAUUUGAGACCUAACUUGGUCGCUGGUUUCCAGUGCAUCACAGUAUAUUUUGUAAAAAACAUCUACUGCACUUGAGCAUGAAUGGGUAAUAGCCAAACUCUCAAUCUGGAGUGAUGAACCUGCUUAUACCAGUGCAGGAACAAGCCCCUCACAAUGCAGUUGCAUGAAUUUUUAGUGCCUACUGAAUUUUAUAUAUGUAUAUCUAUAUAGAGAGAUAUAGAUAUAGAUAUAUAUAAACCAAAAGUAGUUGGAAAAGUUAUUUGAAAUGACUAAUUUGUGCUAUCUUUAUGGAAUAUGUUAAAUGUAGCUUUUGAAACAGAAGCCUUGAAUUGAAAUUAAUACUUGAACAUUUUGUAUCUAUUUCUUUGUAUAUAAUUUUGUGCAGUACCAAUGACAAAACUAUGGUGUCAUAAUAAAACCAGGUUUGUUGAUCUUUCAGUUAUGGGCUCAAAGAAUUUAUUCAUCUCUAACAUGACAUUGGAAAAUAAUGGAUGAAAAUAGGAAAAAUGAUUGUUGUUAAUGCUGACUGUGGGUCUUAAAAGGUUCUGAAAGCAGUAAGUGUGUUUUACUAAAAAGAAUAUACCAUUCCCUUGGAAUGUUUUCUUCCUAAUGUCUGUGCUUUUUUCCUGCGUUAUUUGAAGUUUGGGGCUGAGGUAAUAACAGUAGUCAAAGUUUUCUGAAUUGGGAUGCUUUGAAAUUCCAAGUGUAGAUUUUUAGAUUGUCAUUUUAUAAAUGACAUUUUGGGGUAAUACUUGAUUAAGAACAUUUGAAAAUGGAGAUUAGUGUUGCCUAUUUUUAAAGCUGCUUUGUUAGAUUUCUAUGUUUUAACUGUCUUCUUAGUUUUCAUUUCAUUUUUUUUUUCCGUGAUUUUGGUAACUUAGUGAUUUUUGUCAUUUUUACAUCAACUUCAUGGUCUUGUUUUUACAUGGUAUCGCAUGUAUUUAGGACCUAUCUAACCAGGGGCUUUAAGUAAAUUUGGUCGUAUUUAUGUGUAAGCACAUUUUACUGUAAAAUGUUUUGAGUUUUUGAAUUUGCAAUAGAUCUGUUUAUUUCAGUGUGUAGUAAACAAUAUCUUAAAAAGUGUCCUAUUCACUACUUGUUAAUUAAAAAUGUUAUGAUUAAUAUGAA